This 260-nucleotide ribosomal RNA is filed under the name uncultured bacterium. RNAcentral's name for it is "partial 16S ribosomal RNA". It matches the Rfam family "Bacterial small subunit ribosomal RNA", at positions 95 to 354 of the family's 1533-position model. The record is from RNAcentral.
CCGGCGCACGGGUGAGUAACACGUAUCCAACCUGCCGUCUACUCUUGGACAGCCUUCUGAAAAGGAAGAUUAAUACAAGAUGGCAUCAUGAGUCCGCAUGUUCACAUGAUUAAAGGUAUUCCGGUAGACGAUGGGGAUGCGUUCCAUUAGAUAGUAGGCGGGGUAACGGCCCACCUAGUCUUCGAUGGAUAGGGGUUCUGAGAGGAAGGUCCCCCACAUUGGAACUGAGACACGGUCCAAACUCCUACGGAAGGCAGCAG